RNAcentral lists this long non-coding RNA (2693 nucleotides) under Anas platyrhynchos platyrhynchos (common mallard). Its description in RNAcentral is "lncRNA (ENSAPLG00000020850.1)". The record is from RNAcentral. Lineage: Eukaryota; Metazoa; Chordata; Aves; Anseriformes; Anatidae.
AUGGAUGAGAGAAUGAGAGUCACUCUGUUGAGAGAUCUCCUGGGAAAGACCUGGACUGAAAUCCUGUUCGUGGUGGUCAAGACCAAAAGUCCCCAGCCAGGAUGCUGCUGCUGCAAUUUCAGCUUCUUCCAACAGUUUCUUCCUGUGGGACAAGAACCAGUUUCCCUUGGUGGGAGACCAUGGACUAACAGCUCUUCCUUUUGUCUUCAGGAUCUCGCUUUGGUCCCAGGAACGAAGAAAAAAGGGCGACACUGAACAAGACCCAAUCUCUGAGUAGUUUUACCUAUUUCCACCAUGCGCUUGGUAUACUCAUGUGCAGGCACCCAUAAGUGGCCAUGCUUGCUACCAGUUUAUCACUUCUCCAUUUUGGGCAUGUGGAUUCUGGCAGAGAUGCAGGAUCUGGAGUCAAACCUGGUACUGGCUGAGGAAGGAAUGAACCCCCUUCACCCUCCUCCUCCUUCACCCUCCUCCUCCUGCCCUCUGUGCUUUUUUUUUUUUUUUCAGAGAGACUGAUAGAAAGAUGUCUAUGGGUAGGGGACCUGCUCAGAAGCAGGUGACUUACAGGGUGUUUUCCAGGCAUUAAAUACAGCCUUGAUAGCAGCUUCUAGUGGGGUGCUGCUCGCCAUGCGAGGACCUCCUUAGUUUGGUAACCAUGGGCCCAGGAAAAGAGGAAUUCCUUUCAAAGCAAAGACCACUCAAGUCCUACUGUUAAAAUCAAUUGAAACUAAAAUGUUAGGUGCUCUGCAAGGGGCUGUGUGUUUGCAGUAACUCCUCUUUCUCUGUGGUUUUGCAGACUCCCCUUGCUGGGCCUCUUUGCAUGCCGCAGUAAGAAGCUCUCUUGCUUUCCAUUUUGGUGCUCCCAACUUUUGCCUGUGGGUUCCCAUCUUCCUCUCCAGGAGCCGUUUAGAAGUGAUUUAUGGCUGCUGGCAUGUCAGAACCAGUGGGAGCUCCUGGGAUGGAAACGGCUGCCUGAUUUGCCAUGCUGAUAAGUACAAGCCAAACACACCCAGCAAUGCCAGAUGGCGGCGGCGUUAUCUAUCACAGAGCAUCUCAGAGCAGACGGAUGUUAUACAAACAUUUCACAACUGUGGUAUUAUUAUUGGUGCAAUUACUAUUAAUACUAUUUAUAAGUGUUAAAUUAACAUAAAUAUAGCACUGUAAUAAUGAACACAAACCGUAUUUAGCAUGAUUGCUGAUGUAAUAAUUAAUGACCUCUAUCAGUAAUGCUAUCUGCUCUUAUAAGGAAUGAUUCAACAGUAGCUUGUCUUGAUUUCUCAAAGGAAGGAGGGUUUGGGAAAAGGUUAGUGUGAGUCAGAGCCCGGGGAAAGAUGUGGGAGUUGGAGAUGGUGCCCAGCUUCAGAGAAAAUUGUCAUGGGAGUCUGAAAACCGAGGACGCUAAUGAAUUGUGGAUUUUGGGAGAAGCAGACAGCAGUGUGGGCUUGUGGCAGUUUUCAGGCAUGAUGGCUCUGUACCAGCUAUUUCUGAAACGGGGUUUGCAGCUUUCUGGGCUUAGGUUUCGAGGUGGUCAGAGUAUCUGAACUAGAACAAUUUGAAGUGUAUGGUUGGUGCCAUAGUGCCAAAGCCAAAACAUUCAUUUGGGAAUCUAAGACCUGUUACUUGCCCAUGCUCUCAUUUCAAUGCUGCCUCUGACCUGCUGUGAGACUUUACAUAAAUCUGUGCCUCCAUCUGUCUUUUUUUUUUUUUUUUAUGGCAGUCUUUUUUGGGUCCUUGUCUGUAUGCAGCUCCUAGCACAAUAGGGAGCUGAGCCUGAUAGGACCUCUGGAUCCCGUAACGAUGCUGGUAAUGAGAUGACUGGGAGAUUCUGGCUGGAGCUCCGGGCCUGACGGUGGUCCAGGGGCAGGAUUUGUCUGCCCUGCCUUGAAACACUGAUAUGUGUUCAAGUCUGAGCUUGUUACCACAGCCCAGUUCUUACCUUAGGGCUGACUGUAGCAUGAGUUAAUAUAUAUAUAUAUUUCUCCAUAAGGAUUAUCGAGGAGUCUAACUUUAAGUGCUUAGCUCUCUUGUGCCUGAGUCAGGGUGGCUGAAACUCUAGCUUUGAGAGAAGGGCUUAUAUUCCCCUUGAGGUGUAAAGCUCAUACAUUGAAUUUAGAAGCAACUAAUUCUGCUGACAGACAGAAAAACGCAAGCAGGUCUCUCAAGUACCUUCUUGCCCCGGCUGUCAUGCGACGGCACGUCUUCUGGUGUGUUGAGCCCCGGGAGAUGGAGAGGGCUAAACACCAGCCCUCGCUAGGGAAACAGGCAUCCUCUGAGUGCCCUUGCAGUGCUGAGGCCCCUAAAGCUGAGUGGCUCCAAAGCAUCUUCCCUGCAAGGUUGUGCAGCCCCAGGAGAAGCAGUGGAGCCACGGUCCCAGAAAUAUUUAGAAGUUGGCUGGAUGAGGUCCUGAGCUAAUCUGAAGCUGCCUCAAGUUCCUCUGAGAAGGAGGUCAGACUGGAGAGCUCCGGAGGUCCCCUCUACCCCAACCUAUGCUGUGAUUCUCUGACAUUUGUAAAAAUCCCUCUUGGUAUGCACAUAAUCUUGAGGCAUUGCCUUGGAAAAAUCAGUCCGAGACCUUUCUGCUCCAAUAGGCUUCUUUGGGAAACCCGGGCUAGGCUAUAAAUGGCUUUAGAAAAUAUUUCCCAUCUAUAUAUGUCAAACGUAAUAAAGGGAGCAGGAGGUUCCUGCCCGAUAAAACA